This 248-nucleotide ribosomal RNA is filed under the name uncultured bacterium. Its description in RNAcentral is "partial 16S ribosomal RNA". It matches the Rfam family "Bacterial small subunit ribosomal RNA", at positions 523 to 769 of the family's 1533-position model. The record is from RNAcentral.
AUACGUAGGUGGCAAGCGUUAUCCGGAUUUAUUGGGCGUAAAGCGAGCGCAGGCGGUUUUUUAAGUUCUGAUGUGAAAGCCCUCGGCUUAACCGAGGAAGCGCAUCGGAAACUGGGAAACUUGAGUGCAGAAGAGGACAGUGGAACUCCAUGUGUAGCGGUGGAAUGCGUAGAUAUAUGGAAGAACACCAGUGGCGAAGGCGGCUGUCUAGUCUGUAACUGACGCUGAGGCUCGAAAGCAUGGGUAGC